Molecule: ribosomal RNA, 497 nt
Filed under: uncultured bacterium
Lineage: Bacteria
Description: partial 16S ribosomal RNA
Rfam family: Bacterial small subunit ribosomal RNA
Source: RNAcentral
GAUGAACGCUGGCGGCGUGCCUAAUACAUGCAAGUCGAGCGAACGGACGAGAAGCUUGCUUCUCUGAUGUUAGCGGCGGACGGGUGAGUAACACGUGGAUAACCUACCUAUAAGACUGGGAUAACUUCGGGAAACCGGAUCUAAUACCGGAUAAUAUUUUGAACCGCAUGGUUCAAAAGUGAAAGACGGUCUUGCUGUCACUUAUAGAUGGAUCCGCGCUGCAUUAGCUAGUUGGCAAGGUAACGGCUUACCAAGGCAACGAUGCAUAGCCGACCUGAGAGGGUGAUCGGCCACACUGGAACUGAGACACGGUCCAGACUCCUACGGGAGGCAGCAGUAGGGAAUCUUCCGCAAUGGGCGAAAGCCUGACGGAGCAACGCCGCGUGAGUGAUGAAGGUCUUCGGAUCGUAAAACUCUGUUAUUAGGGAAGAACAUAUGUGUAAGUAACUGUGCACAUCUUGACGGUACCUAAUCAGAAAGCAACGGCUAACUACGUG